This 467-nucleotide ribosomal RNA is filed under the name uncultured bacterium. RNAcentral describes it as "partial 16S ribosomal RNA". It matches the Rfam family "Bacterial small subunit ribosomal RNA", at positions 28 to 505 of the family's 1533-position model. The record is from RNAcentral.
GACGAACGCUGGCGGCGUGCUUAACACAUGCAAGUCGAACGGUGAAGCGAGUGCUUGCACUCGUGGAUCAGUGGCGAACGGGUGAGUAACACGUGAGUAACCUGCCCAUCACUCUGGGAUAAGCACUGGAAACGGUGUCUAAUACUGGAUACGACCAACCCUUGCAUGGGGUGUUGGUGGAAAGAUUUAUCGGUGAUGGAUGGACUCGCGGCCUAUCAGCUUGUUGGCGGGGUAAUGGCCCACCAAGGCGACGACGGGUAGCCGGCCUGAGAGGGUGACCGGCCACACUGGGACUGAGACACGGCCCAGACUCCUACGGGAGGCAGCAGUGGGGAAUAUUGCACAAUGGGCGAAAGCCUGAUGCAGCGACGCCGCGUGAGGGAUGACGGCCUUCGGGGUGUAAACCUCUUUCAGCAGGGAAGAAGCGAAAGUGACGGUACCUGCAGAAGAGGCACCGGCUAACUACG